Molecule: long non-coding RNA, 2185 nt
Filed under: Capsella rubella
Lineage: Eukaryota; Viridiplantae; Streptophyta; Magnoliopsida; Brassicales; Brassicaceae
Description: long non-coding RNA (CRUB_LNC003403)
Source: RNAcentral
UCAGGCUAAGGCUAGAGGGAUUCCUUACAAGAAGAAGAAGAAGAAGAAGCCAACGACGGAGAUGGGUGGUGGAAGAGACGACUCUUCUUCUUCCUCAUCCUCUUCCUUCAGCUUCUCUUAAGAGGUUCUCCAUCUUUAUCAAAGACCUUUGUGGUAAUUUAUUUCUCCAUUAACUAUGUUUUUUUUAUUUUAAUUUUAUUGAAUAUAUAUAUAUAUAUAUAUAUAUAUAUAUUACUUCGUUCGUUACUACAAUAAAACUAAAACAAUANNNNNNNNNNNNNNNNNNNNNNNNNNNNNNNNNNNNNNNNNNNNNNNNNNNNNNNNNNNNNNNNNNNNNNNNNNNNNNNNNNNNNNNNNNNNNNNNNNNNUUUUUAUUUUAUUUUAUUGUAAUAUAUAUAUAUAUAUAUAUAUAUAUAUAUACCUUUGCGUUCAUUUUUACACAUAAAAACAAAACAUCUAGAUACACAUAGAUUUUGUUUCUUGGUCUCUUCUUGACUAGAAUCUUAUAGAAACUGUGGUUUUACUGGGUAAGAACAUACAUCCUUUCUAUUGUAGAAUUGUCUAUAAAAUCAAAACCCUAAUUGGAUAAAUACUUAGGCUAUCCAGUUCUGUGAAAGUCUUGAUCUGAUUUUAGAACAUUAUUGAUUUUAAGUGCAGAUUAAGGGACUUAGGUUUUUUGAAUGGAAGUGGAUUUGUGUUUUGAGAAUAUUUUAUUUUAAAAUAAAUUUGGCUCUUUCAAUGAAAGUAGAUUUUGGUUUCGGAAUAUUGGUAAAUACAGAAAAUAGUAAAAUUUUGAUUGGAUGAUUUAUUAAUCUAAUCGAUCUUCUAGUAUCAAAAGUAAAAAGCUUAGAUUGAUUCCCAAACCUUAAUUUGAAAAUGCAUUCCAUUUAUUUAAUAUAUAUGUGUGGAAAUUAAAGGUUUUUCAAGUUAUCCUCGAGAAAUACUCAUUCAAGAAUUGAAAAAAAAAAAAAAACACAUUUGAUUUAACCUGUUUACAAAGAGAGCAAAAGAGAUCUCUAUAUAUACAUACAUAUAUUUUUACCACUGUUGUUUAUAUAAACAGUGGUUCUAGAAAGUAAUGAUUGGCUCUUGGAAUGCAUCUCUUUAAAGAUUUUUGUAGAUUUGGUUCCCCAUUGAUGAUCAAGAGCGCAAUUGAUUGAACCUUUUUCCCCCAAUUUUAUAACCUAGAUAAAUCGAUUAAUGAUUGAGAUUCCAUGAUUGUUCUCAAAGGUUAAUAAGGUUAUCUCAGAAUAGAAAUUCACACAUAUACUUUAAUAGUAUUUUAAUCCAUGCUUUAAACUAUUGCAAUGUGGGUCUUAGGAGAAUGAUCUCAAUAGGAACAAAUCCACCAAAACUUCAACAUUAUUAGUCAUGUUAAUUGUGUAAUUAGGACCUCAGAUUUUAGAGCUUGGAUUGUGACUUAUUAAUUGGACUUUUUAUGAAGGCCGCUUGUUGAUAAAAUACAAAAUAAGUAAGGGCUGUUUAAUUAUAAUGCUUAAACAUUUAUACAUUGGCAUUUUCUGAGAUUACAUAAUUAGAUUUUGUGGGACAGUAAGUUUCUCUUUGAAUCCACCUAAAUCAUUUUUAUUUCUCUGAUCUCAAAUAUAGUUUCAUUCUUAAUUAGGUAAAUAAAUAAAUAAAUAAAUUGCUCGAAUAAUCUUUAUGCGUCUUUCUUUAGGGUCUUUGUCACCACUAACUUUGGAAAAGCUUGAAAGUUUGUUUUGUCCCCCGCAAAGCUUUAUAGAUUUUGUUCGAUGAUACAAUGUACGUACGAAGCAUAAGUCACACGAAACAUAAGUUAAUGAACAUAUCUUGGAUGGAUUGGCAUUGAAGCAUGCAUGCAUCUCGCAUAGUUAUGGCUAAACCUUUGAUUUGUAUAUAUAUACCUUAAUUAAUCUUUCUGCAUCUUGAGAAUUUAGCUAAGCGCGUAUACUAUGUGUUUAAUUAUGGCAAUUAAUCAGUGAACUAAUCUUGCUACAAUAGAGAUUGGCAGGAUCAGUGAGUUUCAAAGAGGGAUGAAAUGUAAGAAACCUUAAAUCUAUCUACUGAUGGUCAAGAAGUCAAAGGGAAAUGGUGGUACCUUCAACACAUCUUUCGGCCCAUUUUAGCCGCUCAUCGUUCCUUCCUCUAUUUCCGUAGCUCUCGGUCAUAUAUAUCGUUCUUAUUUUCUUAUUAAGCUAUAUUU